CAGAACCAGAGCUCCUGAAAUACUAAACAAUGUUUCUUGAUUUGACUUGAACCUAGAAUUAUGUGCCCUAAGACUUGAGAGUUCUCUGUUUUGUUAGCCUGUCUUGGUAGCAUUCUUCCGCAGUAUCAAGGGACUACUUUAAUCAUAAUCAAAUUCAGCAAUUCUGGUAAGACCUUCACAACUCUGUUUAAAGGUUGCCACUGAUAAAUUAGGAUUUGUACAAGGUUGUGGUAGCACUGGAUGCAUGUAUGUUGGGAAGACAUUAAUCAGAUGAUUCAGAAUGGAUGAUGAAGGUUAACUUUGCAUCGAAUUAUAACAUCAAGAUCAUAUCAGGAGAUAAUUAUGAGUGAGAACUGAACCUUAUUUAGUAUACAGAGGUGAUGAGGAAUGGUGAUGUCUGAAAAUGGAAUUGUAAGAAAAGAAUUUAAGAAAUCACAUAAAGAUAGUAGUUGGGAAACUUCUACACUCUGCCCAACAGUUCUGGAAGAGUUAACAUAGUGAGUACUUCCCAAGGCUUGAAGAAGA
Long non-coding RNA from Sarcophilus harrisii (Tasmanian devil), 525 nucleotides. RefSeq lists it as uncharacterized. The record is from RefSeq and is a predicted model, not a curated record. NCBI's taxonomy places the organism in Eukaryota, Metazoa, Chordata, Mammalia, Dasyuromorphia, Dasyuridae. The transcript is spliced from 3 exons.